AGCAUAUAAUUAAGCGGAGGAAAAGAAACUAACCAGGAUUCCCCUAGUAAGGGCGACUGAAGCGGGAAUAGCUCAUAUUGUGAAUCUGUGCCCCUGUGGCACCGAAUUGUGGUCUAGAGAAGCAUGUGUUUGGCACGCCGGGUCAAGUCCCUUGGAAGAGGGCAGCUGAGAGGGUGAGACUCCCGUUCCUACCUGGGCUGUGGCCAUUUGACACUUGCUUUCGACGAGUCGAGUUGUUUGGGAUUGCAGCUCAAAGUCGGUGGUAAAUUCCAUCUAAAGCUAAAUAUGGGUGGGAGACCGAUAGUGUACAAGUACCGUGAGGGAAAGAUGCAAAGAACUUUGAAAAGAGAGUUAAAGAGUACCUGAAAUUGCUGAAAGGGAAGCGAAGGAAACCAGUGUUGUUGCCUAGUCAUAUUUCUYCUCCUGCUUGCGGGUGGAGCGCUGUGACUYGGUAAUUGUCAGCCUUUGUUGGUCUCGGUAGAAACCUGCUGCUGGGAGGUAGGUCCCUUGGGACUGAUACCAGUGGCGCGUGUGCCGGGAAGGAC
RNAcentral lists this ribosomal RNA (545 nucleotides) under Psammoneis obaidii. Its description in RNAcentral is "LSU rRNA". It matches the Rfam family "Eukaryotic large subunit ribosomal RNA", at positions 37 to 582 of the family's 3401-position model. The record is from RNAcentral. Lineage: Eukaryota; Bacillariophyta; Plagiogrammaphyceae; Plagiogrammales; Plagiogrammaceae.